GUGCCAGCCGCCGCGGUAAUACGGAGGGUGCGAGCGUUGUUCGGAAUUAUUGGGCGUAAAGCGCGUGUAGGCGGUCCGUUAAGUCUGAUGUGAGAGCCCAGGGCUCAACCCUGGAAGUGCAUUGGAAACUGGCGGACUUGAGUACGGGAGAGGGAAGUGGAAUUCCGAGUGUAGGGGUGAAAUCCGUAGAUAUUCGGAGGAACACCAGUGGCGAAGGCGGCUUCCUGGACCGAUACUGACGCUGAGACGCGAAAGCGUGGGGAGCAAACAGGAUUAGAUACCCUGGUAGUCCACGCCGUAAACGAUGGGUACUAGGUGUUGCGGGUAUUGACCCCUGCAGUGCCGAAGCUAACGCAUUAAGUACCCCGCCUGGGGAGUACGCACGCAAGUGUGAAACUUAAAUGAAUUGGCGGGG
Molecule: ribosomal RNA, 415 nt
Filed under: uncultured prokaryote
Description: bacterial SSU rRNA
Rfam family: Bacterial small subunit ribosomal RNA
Source: RNAcentral